GUCAUACUGUGUGUGUAUGUAUAACUACAUAUGACAUACUGUGUGUGUAUGUAUCACUACAUAUGUCAUACUGUGUUUAUGUAUCACUACAUAUGUCAUCUGUGUGUGUGUAGCACUACAUAUUUAUGUGACUGAAUGUAAGAAAUAUGACAAAAAAUAAAUCAGGUUUGCUUUUAACUUUAAGAAAUAUUUGUUUGGAUGUAUGGAGGUAAAUGAAGCUUUUGUGUGAUAGGUUUGGUGUGUGCAAUGUAUUAUGUUUGAUAUAUAUUUUAUGUGUAUGGGGUGAUGCCUCAUCACUGUUUAGACAAACAGAGAAAAUACAUGCAAGUGUUUUAGAUGUUUUUUAAUUGAUUAAGUGAAGAAGACAUUUACAGGGUAUGUAAAUUCUAUAUUAGAUCAUUGUGUUUGUGCUUCCAUUACUUACUCAAAACACCAUACAUUACCAUAACUCUAGUCCUAGCAGUCUACUAUUUGAUAUAUGACAAGGUGAAUGGACAAGGAAAACGUCCGACAAUGAUCAGCCUUAAUUAGUGUACAAAAGAUCAACAUAGCUUACCGUCCAGCAGGUAAAUUUCACAAUAUGUCCGGGUUGAAUCACAGUAGAGAACUAUAGCAGGUCAACUUGUAUAAAUGCUGCUAAAUGUUCAUAACAUCUGAUGUUGAUAAAGCAUGUUUCACAUUGUCUUAUUAUGACUUGCUUUAUCUGUUGUAUUUUUCACUGCGAUUGCUAUUUACACAUAUGAGAUUAAAGAGUCCAGAUUUUUACUGUAAAUAAAAACUUGUCACAUUUCAUCCUUCAGUUCUUUCACACAUUUUGCUAUUUGUUCAUAACAUUAAAGAGACACUAAUUGUAAAGUAUUAACAUUUAGAACUUGAAUUCUGUGCCAUAAUCUCCCACUUUAUGUAUGUGUACCAGUUUAGUGAAGGAAUGUCUGUACAGUGUAAUAACCUGUCUUAUAUACCAGUAGUCUGUCUAGACAGGCCGGGUUUAUAGACUCAGUAUUGCUGGCUAUCAAUGUGUUGAAUAUACUGGUAAAUGUAUAUGUAUGUAAAUUAAUAGUUAUAUAUGCAUCUUUUCUUUUUUUUAAUUUGUGACGGGGUUUGGUCCAAAACGAGAAUACAACAUUAUUUUUAAAGAAAAUUGGUAGGACACUCGCCUGGCAUGCCACUGGGACAGGAAAAUUAUUUCUUGGGUCUCCUGGGGUUUGUUUUCUGCACACAACAGUGGUUGUGAUUGAUAAGGUUUAAUAUACAGUACAUCCUAAAACUAUCAUAUAUAUGUAAUAUUCAGUAAUAAAAAAAUUAGAUUAAAUGUCCAUGUGAAUUAGGUUAGUAUAGAAAAAAUAGGAUCUAACGACUGACUGAAGAACAAGCUGCUUUCAACCUUCCAUGGCUCUUCAGGUUUAUUUGUUUCAUCUGGGAAGGAUGAAAGCUGCUAGUUUUGUAGUCCGUCAUUCUAUUUAUUUUGUGUAGAUUUCAUUUAGUUUGUUUGAAUGUUAUGGCAUUGUGAUAAUUUUAAUUUGUAAAUACACAAUGUAUGUACUGGUACCACAGAAAUAUUGAUUUCUGUCAAAGAACAAAAACCCAUGGCAUUGUUACAAUAAUGUGUUUGUCAAUGAACUCAACACCGUGACAAGAUGUAUAAUGCAUAAUAAUUUUGAUAGAUUGUAAAAAUGUGACACGUUUUGUUAACAAAUGGUCAUUACACUGUGAUGAAGCAUCAACUAGAUACAGGUGUUAUUUUAGCGUUAGAGUUUAUUUUUGGAAUUUUUGUAUUCAUUUGAAUCUGAGAAUUCUACUUCCCAGUGAAUCUUCUUUAUAUACCUAGUAAUUACAACACUAUAAUUCCACAGCUAUUGUCUGUAGUAAAAAACCAUAACAUUUGCUUAGCGACAACAUAUUUCAAUAUCCAUUUUUGUCUUUUUUUGCAGAAUUCCUUUGUAUAUGUUUUCCAAUUUGUCAAACCCUUUUAUAAUGCCAUCAUUUCUCUUGACAAAUGGUGGCUGUAUAAUGAGGUUUUACAGUACAUUACUAGAUUACAGGUCAGUAAUGUAGGUCGGCAUUAAACCAAGAGCUGCUCACUAAAGAUCAGGAAUAAACAUGGGCCAUUUCUAGAGUACUGGUCAUUAUAUUACAGGGUCAGUAACAGACAUAGGGCAUUAACCAAUAACUUCUUAUAGGUCAUUUUCCUAUUUUCAUAUCAAAUUCCAUUACUUCUGGUCUUCUUGUCUGUCCAUUAUGCAAAGUGGUCACCUCAAGUCAUCCUUUAGAUUAGGGGAUGACUUAAGGUGACCACUCUAUUUAGAGGACAGACAAGAUGACAUGAGGUAAUCACAAUAUUUAGAGGACAGACAGGAUGACAUGAGGUAAUCACAAUAUUUAGAGGACAGACUGGAUGACAUGAUGUAAUCACAAUAUUUAGAGGACAGACCGGAUGACCUGAGGUAAUCACAAUAUUUAGAGGACAGACGGGAUGACCUGAGGCAAUCACAAUAUAUAGAGGACAGACAGGAUGACAUGAUGUAAUCACAAUAUGUAGAGGACAGACAGGAUGACAUGAGGUCAUCACAAUAGAUAGAGGACAGACAUGAUGACAUGAGGUAAUCACAAUAGUUAGAGGACAGACAGGAUGACAUGAGGGAAUCACAAUAGAUAGAGGACAGACAGGAUGACCUGAGGUAAUCACAAUAGAUAGAGGACAGACAGGAUGACGUGAGGUAAUCACAAUAGAUAGAGGACAGACAGGAUGACCUGAGGCAAUCACUAUAUUUAGAGGACAGACAGGAUGACCUGAGGUAACCACGUUAGACAGACAGACAGACAGAAUGACCUUGGGUAACCACAUUGGAUAGGGUACAGACAGAAUGAGCGGAGGUAACCACUUUAGAUAUCAGACAGACAGACAGACAGAAUGACAUUGGGUAACCACAUUGGAUAGGGUACAGAGAGAAUGAGCUGAGGUAGCCACUUUAGAUAUCAGACAGACAGAAGGACCUUGGGUAACCACAUUGGAUAGGUCACAGACAGAAUGAGCUGAGGUAGCCACUUUAGAUAUCAGACAGACAGAAUGACCUUGGGUAACCACAUUGGAUAGGGAAUAGACAGAAUGAGCUGAGGUAACCACUUUAGAUAUCAGACAGACAGACAGACAGAAUGACCUUGGGUAACCACAUUGGAUAGGGUGCAGACAGAAUGACCUUGGGUAACCACAUUGGAUAGGGUACAGACAGAAUGAGCUGAGGUAGGCACUUUAGAUAUCAGACAGACAGAAUGACAAUAGGUAACAACAUUGGAUAGGGCACAGACAGAAUGAGCUGAGGUAGGCACUUUAGAUAUCAGACAGACAGAAUGACAUUAGGUAACAACAUUGGAUAGGGUACAGACAGAAUGAGCUGAGGUAGCCACUUAAAAUAUCAGACGGACAGAAUGACAAUAGGUAACAACAUUGGAUAGGGUACAGACAGAAUGAGUGAGGUAACCACUUUAGAUAUCAGACAGACAGAAUGACGAUAGGUAACAACAUUGGAUAGGGAACAGACAGAAUGUGCUGAGGUACCCACUUUAGAUAUCAGACAGACAGAAUGACGAUAGGUAACAACAUUGGAUAGGGAACAGACAGAAUGAGCUGAGGGAGCCACUUAAAAUAUCAGACGGACAGAAUGACAAUAGGUAACAACAUUGGAUAGGGAACAGACAGAAUGAGCUGAGGGAGCCACUUAAAAUAUCAGACGGACAGAAUGACAAUAGGUAACAACAUUAGAUAGGGUACAGACAGAAUGACCUUGGGUAACAACAUUGGAUAGGGGAUAGACCUGAUGUAGGGGAGAGUUACAGACAACCAGAGGUAAUCGUAGUAGUCAAAGAUAAUUUUGUAGUACAGUGUACAUGUUUUACCUGUAAACAUUCCUGAGAAAACUGGACAAUUUAGUCAUGAACACAACUGUAUUUUCCUUACUAAUGCUUAAUGUAUAGGCACAAGAUACAUGAUUGUUAAUCAAAACUUUAAUCUUGUCUUUUGCUGGUCAAAGGUCAAUGUGAAAAAGUUGGAGUCAAGGACAGACAAAUUGUUAGACUUGAUUUUCAUAAUGAAACUGAUAAUUUCUUCAUUUCUUAAAAGAUGUGGCAACAUAUUAUAUGUACUACACCUAGAGAAAUAUUCUUAAAUGAAGGGAGACAACCCGUCAAACAUAAACACUGUCAUAUAAUUACUGCUGUGUUUUAUCAUUAGCAAGCUAUACUUAUUUAAUACUGAUUUAUUUUAUUCAUUUUAUUUAAAUUAUGCUUUUAUAUUAUAGAUAUAUAUUCAUAUAUACUGGUUUUAGAUUUGACAUUUAUAAAUGUCACCUGUUAACUUGCCUUAUACGGUAGCUACGAUGCACCACCUCACACACAGUGUAAUAACUGGGUACUUUAUGACGGAGUUGCUGUCAAUUUUGUUGUACAUUUGUAUUGUUGAAUCUGUACUGAUCCCUGUUUUUGGCCCUAGCUAGCUAUGUAUUCAUGUUUCAUAUAUCUAGAUAUGUACCCACUUGGUGAAACAGAAAGGUCACUUUGUGUUGAUGAUCACGGAAACAAAACCUAUCAAUUUAGUACACAUUGUUCACUACUUUUUUGUCUUUGUGUAUAAAGUAUUAAAAGACAUUGCGCACCUAAGAUUUGUAUAACAAAACAACUACCCUAAGGCUAGUCUCCAGUCCUACCCUAUGUGGGAGUACUGGAGUCCUAUAAGGGAGAUACGAGUCUACUAAAUGAUCACAGAACCUGCACAAAUAUUACCUUUUUGCAUUGAAAUUUUGAUUAAUAUAUACCGGUAUAUACAUUACAAAAAGCUUUGCAUAAAUGUUGACAGUUAUCACAGGUUGUAAUGAUGCUGCUUGAUUUCCUAAUCACAGAUUGAGAAGAUGUGACAGACUGAUCACAGAAUGACUUAUUGUGUUGUAUUUGAAGUGUAUUCAGUGUAUAAACAAGGCCAUAUAUGAUGUAACAAUAAUAUAUAAUAAGUAUUAUGAAUACAAACCUACUAAAACUGAA
This is a long non-coding RNA of Mizuhopecten yessoensis (Yesso scallop), 5031 nucleotides long. RefSeq lists it as uncharacterized. The record is from RefSeq and is a predicted model, not a curated record. NCBI's taxonomy places the organism in Eukaryota, Metazoa, Mollusca, Bivalvia, Pectinida, Pectinidae. The transcript has 2 exons.